AAGGGGCAUUAGAUUCAUCAAGAGGCUGAGACGGAUCACAUAAGAAAUGAGGAGGUCUGACCUCAUUCAGGGAAAAGGUAACGAAGAGUAUGGUGCAGAAGGGAGGGGUUAGAGGAGACUCCAUAGAGAUGAAUGAACAGCACCUGGACAGUGAUUGGAUUUGGGAACUGAAGAAUUCAAAGCCAUGGGGACAAGCAUGAUGAGGAAGAAGUCACUUGAGAGGAUAGUCUUGUUGGCUUCUGUCUGUGCGUGGCCAGAGGGCCAAAAGCCAAGGCCCCUUGGUGACUGCAGGAGCCAAUUGGAUUUUGACCCCACAGCCAAUCAGAAGGCUUUGAUCUUUCGGAUGAGCAAGUUGAGAGAAGAACAGAAAUGUCAAGGUUUGCCUUCCCAAAAUGAGGUGACGAAACAGCUUUGAGAAGAGGCCAGCCAGAGGAGCACUGUGGCCCGUGUGGGCUCUGCUUUGAACAGACCCUUGCUUGGAGGGAACCUAAGACAGCUUGCAGCCUUGUCCAGGCACCUGUGUGGUCCUGCAGAGGAAAGAUACAGACCUUAUCUCCUGGGCUCCAACCCAGGGCCAGGGAGUUUUCUGCCAGCGGAAAACAGCAGACACUGAUCUGCACGAACUAAAAGGAUGAGUCCAUACCUUCCGGGAUAUGCAAAUUGGGCAACAGAAAAUCUCGACCCGAUUGUUCCUGCUGCAGAAAAUAAGCAUGAUCAGUUUGUAUGCAAUGAUUUAAUUUAUUAUUGUUAUCUAAAUUUUGUUUUAAAUGGCUGGUUUUUAGCUCCAGAUCAGUGCAUUUUGCAUUGAAGAAGUGCUUUACACGUUUUUAAAAUACUUUUAUAUUUAUUGUUACUGAAUAACUGGCCUCCAUUUUCUCAUUUGGGAGUUGUGGGAACUGAACAAGAUCAGGGGAAAAUGACAGAUACCAUUACACAUGCCAGCCCAGCUUGAUCUGCAGCCCUGUAUUAAGAAGGAUUCUGAGGCUACU
This 989-nucleotide long non-coding RNA is filed under the name Equus asinus (donkey). RNAcentral describes it as "lncRNA (ENSEASG00005028082.1)". Lineage: Eukaryota; Metazoa; Chordata; Mammalia; Perissodactyla; Equidae. The record is from RNAcentral.